AGUCGAGGGGUACAGGUCACUUCGGUGAUGCUGACGACCGGCGCACGGGUGAGUAACGCGUAUGGAACCUACCUGAAACAGGGGGAUAGCUUCCGGAAACGGGGAUUAAUACCCCAUACGAUUCAUUUGUGGCCUCACAAAUGGAUAAAAGCUACGGCGGUUUCAGAUGGUCAUGCGUACCAUUAGUUAGUUGGUGAGGUAAAGGCUCACCAAGGCGAUGAUGGUUAGGGGUCCUGAGAGGGUAGUCCCCCACACUGGUACUGAGACACGGACCAGACUCCUACGGGAGGCAGCAGUGAGGAAUAUUGGUCAAUGGGCGCUAGCCUGAACCAGCCAUGCCGCGUGCAGGAAGACGGCCCUACGGGUUGUAAACUGCUUUUCUGCAGGAAGAAUAUAUAGUCUUAGGGCUAUAUUGACGGUACUGCAGGAAUAAGCAUCGGCUAACUCCGUGCCAGCAGCCGCGGUAAUACGGAGGAUGCAAGCGUUAUCCGGAUUCAUUGGGUUUAAAGGGUGCGCAGGCUGUAAAGCAAGUCAGUGGUGAAAGCCCUGGGCUUAACUCAGGGAUUGCCCAUUGAAACUGUUUUACUAGAGUGUAGUAGAGGACGGCGGAAUGAGUUGUGUAGCGGUGAAAUGCAUAGAUAUAACUCAGAACACCUAUUGCGUAGGCAGCUGUCUAUACUACAACUGACGCUGAGGCACGAAAGCGUGGGGAGCGAACAGGAUUAGAUACCCUGGUAGUCCACGCUGUAAACGAUGAUCACUCGUUGUUGGCUACUUAGUAGUCAGUGACCAAG
This 794-nucleotide ribosomal RNA is filed under the name uncultured organism. Its description in RNAcentral is "bacterial SSU rRNA". It matches the Rfam family "Bacterial small subunit ribosomal RNA", at positions 60 to 851 of the family's 1533-position model. The record is from RNAcentral.